This is a long non-coding RNA of Pygocentrus nattereri (red-bellied piranha), 1033 nucleotides long. Lineage: Eukaryota; Metazoa; Chordata; Actinopteri; Characiformes; Serrasalmidae. The record is from Ensembl.
UGUGAUUUGUUGUUAUAUUUCUUCUCUAGAAAUGCACCUUUUUGAGGCUCACAUGAGUCGCACAGGAUCAAUUAAAGACUGGCUGAGGAGCUUCAUUAAGUCUGCAGAUAAAGUCAUUUCUGAGGCUUGGGAGAAUUCUGCGCAUUUUCUACUGGACAGAUUGUUUGAGAAAUGGGACCCAUCAAGUCAGAAGAGUGUUCUGACAUUCACACAACUCUUAAACAGCUAUAAGAGGAGUUUUCACGCUGCCAGAGACCAUGUGUUUUACUUUGACAAUGUGCCUACUCCUUUUGUGAAGGUGUCAGAACUGAUAGCAAACAAACUGGUGAAGAUACUGAAUGGAGAAAGAGGGGGAAGAACUUCAGAGAGCUCAGCUGAUGUCAGUCCUCUGACGACGGGCCUCUCAGUGUUCCAGGUGUGCUGUGCGUGUUGUAUUGAGCUUGGAAUUAAAGACUGGGGCAAAGUUUGUCAGCUGGUCUCCACUAGUCCUGCCCUGGGACAAUUAGAAGAAAUUCAGAAUGCCUUUCCAGCAUUACAGAACACAGUGUUGGGUCUGAUGAGCUUGUGUGCUCGGAAACUGGUCUCAGAGCUGGUGCUGCUGGUUCCUCUCCUCCACACUCUGAGGCAGCCAGGGGCAGACUCAGGCCGGCUUGGAUGGACUGUGGAGGAGUCAGACUGGACUGGGCUGCACUUUGUGGAAUUUCGUCCAUUCAGAGAGAAGAUGAGAAGACUCCCUGACAAAAGGAGGAUGAUGCUCCGUAUGGUCCAAGAUCACAUAUCACUGGUCAAGAAGAAUCCUCGGAUUUUGAUCAGCUGGCUGUCCAUGAUGGCAUUUGAGGAUAUUAUAGAGUUUGCCAAAAUGACAGAGAUUGUUCCUGAAUAUCUGAUUCAGGGCCUGAUGUACAGACUGAAAGUGUUUGAACUGUGCACUCAUAACACCGCUCCUCCCGAUUCACAGAAGAACCUGCAGGUACAUGAUGUAAGAUUUCAUGACAAGUUAUGGAUUUUGAAUAAAGGCAAGGUGUUUCAUUAA